This 466-nucleotide ribosomal RNA is filed under the name uncultured bacterium. Its description in RNAcentral is "partial 16S ribosomal RNA". It matches the Rfam family "Bacterial small subunit ribosomal RNA", at positions 28 to 506 of the family's 1533-position model. The record is from RNAcentral.
GACGAACGCUGGCGGCGUGCUUAACACAUGCAAGUCGAACGGAAAGGCCUCUUUCGGGGGGUACUCGAGUGGCGAACGGGUGAGUAACACGUGAGUAACCUGCCCUUGACUUUGGGAUAACUUCAGGAAACUGGGGCUAAUACCGGAUAGGAGCUCCUGCUGCAUGGUGGGGGUUGGAAAGUUUCGGAGGUUGGGGAUGGACUCGCGGCUUAUCAGCUUGUUGGUGGGGUAGUGGCUUACCAAGGCUUUGACGGGUAGCCGGCCUGAGAGGGUGACCGGCCACAUUGGGACUGAGAUACGGCCCAGACUCCUACGGGAGGCAGCAGUGGGGAAUAUUGCACAAUGGGUGGAAGCCUGAUGCAGCAACGCCGUGUGCGGGAUGACGGCCUUCGGGUUGUAAACCGCUUUCGCUCAUGACGAAGCUUUGUGUGACGGUAGUGGGUAAAGAAGCACCGGCGAACUACGG